UACGGGGGGAGCAAGCGUUGUUCGGAUUUACUGGGCGUAAAGGGCGCGUAGGCGGUCGUGACAAGUCACUUGUGAAAUCUCCGGGCUUAACUCGGAACGGUCAAGUGAUACUGUCGGACUAGAGUACAGAAGGGGCAACUGGAAUUCUCGGUGUAGCGGUGAAAUGCGUAGAUAUCGAGAGGAACACCUGCGGCGAAGGCGGCCACCUGGACAGUCACUGACACUGAGACGCGAAAGCGUGGGUAGCAAACAGG
Molecule: ribosomal RNA, 254 nt
Filed under: uncultured bacterium
Lineage: Bacteria
Description: partial 16S ribosomal RNA
Rfam family: Bacterial small subunit ribosomal RNA
Source: RNAcentral